This 253-nucleotide ribosomal RNA is filed under the name uncultured bacterium. RNAcentral describes it as "partial 16S ribosomal RNA". It matches the Rfam family "Bacterial small subunit ribosomal RNA", at positions 524 to 776 of the family's 1533-position model. The record is from RNAcentral.
UACGUAGGGACCGAGCGUUGUCCGGAAUCAUUGGGCGUAAAGAGCGUGUAGGCGGCUUGUUAAGUCUUGCGUGAAAUCUCGGGGCUCAACCCCGAGCGGUCGUGAGAAACUGGCAGGCUAGAGUGCGGGAGAGGAGAGUGGAAUUCCUGGUGUAGUGGUGAAAUGCGUAGAUAUCGGGAGGAACACCAGUGGCGAAGGCGACUUCCUGGCCUGUUCUUGACGCUGAGGCGCGAAAGCUAGGGGAGCAAACGGG